UACGUAGGGUGCGAGCGUUAAUCGGAAUUACUGGGCGUAAAGCGUGCGCAGGCGGUUGUGCAAGACAGAUGUGAAAUCCCCGGGCUUAACCUGGGAACUGCAUUUGUGACUGCACAGCUGGAGUGCGGCAGAGGGGGAUGGAAUUCCGCGUGUAGCAGUGAAAUGCGUGGAUAUGCGGAGGAACACCGAUGGCGAAGGCAAUCCCCUGGGCCUGCACUGACGCUCAUGCACGAAAGCGUGGGGAGCAAACAGG
RNAcentral lists this ribosomal RNA (253 nucleotides) under uncultured bacterium. Its description in RNAcentral is "partial 16S ribosomal RNA". It matches the Rfam family "Bacterial small subunit ribosomal RNA", at positions 524 to 776 of the family's 1533-position model. The record is from RNAcentral.